UCGCGAAAACUUCACAAUGGGGGAAACCCCGAUGAGGGAAUUCCAAGUGCUAGCACUAUGUGUUAGCUGUUCUUUUGUCUAAAAAACAGGAGAAGUAAGGGCCGGGUAAGACGGGUGCCAGCCGCCGCGGUAAUACCCGCGGCCCGAGUGGUGGUCGAUAUUAUUGAGCCUAAAACGUCCGUAGCCGGUCUUGUAAAUCCUUGGGUAAAUCGGCCAGCUUAACUGUCCGAAGUCCGGGGAGACUGCAAGACUUGGGAUCGGGAGAGGUCAGAGGUACUUCUGGGGUAGGGGUAAAAUCCUGUAAUCCUGGAAGGACCACCGGUGGCGAAGGCGUCUGACUAGAACGAAUUCGACGGUGAGGGACGAAGCCCUGGGGCGCAAACGGG
This 386-nucleotide ribosomal RNA is filed under the name uncultured bacterium. RNAcentral's name for it is "bacterial SSU rRNA". It matches the Rfam family "Archaeal small subunit ribosomal RNA", at positions 339 to 727 of the family's 1478-position model. The record is from RNAcentral.